Molecule: ribosomal RNA, 255 nt
Filed under: uncultured prokaryote
Description: partial 16S ribosomal RNA
Rfam family: Bacterial small subunit ribosomal RNA
Source: RNAcentral
UAAUACGUAGGGGGCGAGCGUUGUCCGGAAUUAUUGGGCGUAAAGAGCGUGUAGGCGGUUCGGUAAGUCUGCCGUGAAAACCCAGGGCUCAACCCUGGGCGUGCGGUGGAUACUGCCGGGCUAGAGGGUGGUAGAGGCGAGUGGAAUUCCCGGUGUAGCGGUGAAAUGCGCAGAUAUCGGGAGGAACACCAGUAGCGAAGGCGGCUCGCUGGGCCAUACCUGACGCUGAGACGCGAAAGCGUGGGGAGCAAACAG